CCUACGGGAGGCAGCAGUGAGGAAUAUUGGUCAAUGGCCGUAAGGCUGAACCAGCCAAGUCGCGUGAAGGAAGAAGGAUCUAUGGUUUGAAAACUUCUAUCAGCAGGGAAGAAAAUGACGGUACAUGACUAAGAAGCCCCGGCUAACUACGUGCCAGCAGCAGCGGUCAUACGUAGGGGGCAAGCGUUAUCCGGAUUUACUGGGUGUAAAGGGAGCGUAGGCGGUUUAGCAAGUCAGAAGUGAAAGCCCGUGGCUCAACUCCGGGACUGCUUUUGAAACUGUUGAACUAGAUUGCAGGAGAGGUAAGUGGAAUUCCGAGUGUAGCGGUGAAAUGCGUAGAUAUUAGGAGGAACACCAGUGGCGAAGGCGGCUUACUGGACUGUAAAUGACGCUGAGGCUCGAAAGCGUGGGGAGCAAACAGGAUUAGAUACCCGUGUAGUC
This 441-nucleotide ribosomal RNA is filed under the name uncultured bacterium. Its description in RNAcentral is "partial 16S ribosomal RNA". It matches the Rfam family "Bacterial small subunit ribosomal RNA", at positions 338 to 795 of the family's 1533-position model. The record is from RNAcentral.